This 253-nucleotide ribosomal RNA is filed under the name uncultured bacterium. RNAcentral's name for it is "partial 16S ribosomal RNA". It matches the Rfam family "Bacterial small subunit ribosomal RNA", at positions 524 to 776 of the family's 1533-position model. The record is from RNAcentral.
UACAGAGGGUGCGAGCGUUGUCCGGAAUCACUGGGCGUAAAGGGCGCGUAGGCGGCUUGAUAAGCGUGCGGUGAAAGCCCGGGGCUCAACCCCGGGUCGGCCGUGCGAACUGUCGAGCUGGAGCACUGUAGAGGCAGGUGGAAUUCCGGGUGUAGCGGUGGAAUGCGUAGAGAUCCGGAAGAACACCGGUGGCGAAGGCGGUUAGCUGGGCAGUUGCUGACACUGAGGCGCGACAGCGUGGGGAGCAAACAGG